This 192-nucleotide ribosomal RNA is filed under the name Hyaloscypha hepaticicola. RNAcentral describes it as "partial 18S ribosomal RNA". Lineage: Eukaryota; Fungi; Ascomycota; Leotiomycetes; Helotiales; Hyaloscyphaceae. The record is from RNAcentral.
UGGUAAGAGAGUACAGGAUGUAACAAUGGACAAUCCGCAGCGAAGACCCUACCGGCUCCGGCCCACGGGUACCGUUCACAGACUAAGUGAUUGUGGGCGGGGCAAAUCGUGCCCUGUCUAAGAUAUAGUCGGACUCUACCCGAAAGGAUAGAGGAUAGCAUGUCCGUAGGUGAACCUGCGGAAGGAUCAUUA